GAUGAACGCUAGCGGCAGGCCUAAUACAUGCAAGUCGAGGGGUAUGGGUUGCUUGCAACCCAGAGACCGGCGCACGGGUGCGUAACGCGUAUGCAAUCUACCUUAAUCAGGGGGAUAGCCCGGAGAAAUCCGGAUUAACACCGCAUAACAUUGAGUUGUGGCAUCACAGUUCAAUCAAAUAUUUAUAGGAUUAAGAUGAGCAUGCGUGACAUUAGUUAGUUGGUGAGGUAACGGCUCACCAAGGCCACGAUGUCUAGGGGAUCUGAGAGGAUGACCCCCCACACUGGUACUGAGACACGGACCAGACUCCUACGGGAGGCAGCAGUAAGGAAUAUUGGUCAAUGGGCGCAAGCCUGAACCAGCCAUGCCGCGUGCAGGAAGACGGCCCUAUGGGUUGUAAACUGCUUUUGUACCGGAAUAAACCUUCUCUUGCGAGAGAAGCUGAACGUACGGUAAGAAUAAGGAUCGGCUAACUCCGUG
RNAcentral lists this ribosomal RNA (480 nucleotides) under uncultured bacterium. RNAcentral describes it as "partial 16S ribosomal RNA". It matches the Rfam family "Bacterial small subunit ribosomal RNA", at positions 28 to 507 of the family's 1533-position model. The record is from RNAcentral.